This 442-nucleotide ribosomal RNA is filed under the name Listeria monocytogenes. Its description in RNAcentral is "bacterial SSU rRNA". It matches the Rfam family "Bacterial small subunit ribosomal RNA", at positions 1 to 428 of the family's 1533-position model. The record is from RNAcentral. Lineage: Bacteria; Bacillati; Bacillota; Bacilli; Caryophanales; Listeriaceae.
UAUUUUAAAGAGAGUUUGAUCCUGGCUCAGGACGAACGCUGGCGGCGUGCCUAAUACAUGCAAGUCGAACGAACGGAGGAAGAGCUUGCUCUUCCAAAGUUAGUGGCGGACGGGUGAGUAACACGUGGGCAACCUGCCUGUAAGUUGGGGAUAACUCCGGGAAACCGGGGCUAAUACCGAAUGAUAGAAUGUGGCGCAUGCCACGCUUUUGAAAGAUGGUUUCGGCUAUCGCUUACAGAUGGGCCCGCGGUGCAUUAGCUAGUUGGUAGGGUAAUGGCCUACCAAGGCAACGAUGCAUAGCCGACCUGAGAGGGUGAUCGGCCACACUGGGACUGAGACACGGCCCAGACUCCUACGGGAGGCAGCAGUAGGGAAUCUUCCGCAAUGGACGAAAGUCUGACGGAGCAACGCCGCGUGUAUGAAGAAGGUUUUCGGAUCGUAA